RNAcentral lists this small nuclear RNA (26 nucleotides) under Arabidopsis thaliana (thale cress). Its description in RNAcentral is "snRNA_05101". The record is from RNAcentral. Lineage: Eukaryota; Viridiplantae; Streptophyta; Magnoliopsida; Brassicales; Brassicaceae.
UUGUUAGAGGAUACACAUGAGAUGUU